Molecule: ribosomal RNA, 699 nt
Filed under: Triticum aestivum (bread wheat)
Lineage: Eukaryota; Viridiplantae; Streptophyta; Magnoliopsida; Poales; Poaceae
Description: partial small subunit ribosomal RNA
Source: RNAcentral
AUGCCGAGGCCUCCUCCGCUCGGCCGAGGGGCUCCGGGCGCCAGGCGGCCGAUGCGGGACUUCUUCGCCGCCUGGCUCGCCACCCUCCGCUCGCCGCUCCUCCCGUUGCUCCGCCGCGCGCUCUCCUCCUCCCCCGGCGCCUGGAACGACCCAUUAUCAUCGGCCGCCGCCGCCGUCGAGGCCCACUUCGAGGCGCACUGGUCCGCCCUGGACUCGGCCGCCCGCCAGGACCCCGCCCAGGUCAUCUGCGCCGGAGAUUGGCGGUCGCCCCUGGAGCUCCCCUUCCUCUGGCUCGGCGACUUCCACCCCUCCCUCCUCACCUCCCUUCUCCGAUCGCUGUCGCCUUCGCCGCGGCUCCUCGCCUCCGCCGACCGCGUCGACCGCCGAAUCCGCGCCGCCGUCCCCGUCCUCUCCGACCGCCUCCGCCACGCCCAGGAGGUCUUCACAUCCGCGGAGGUGGCUGGCGGGGCCGACCUGGAGGCGUUCUUGGAGGAGCUCAAGGCCGUCGCCCUCGAGGCUAAUCGGCUCCGUCGGGGCGUUCUUUCGGAUCUCGUUGCUGCCGCCGGUGGGCACCAGGCGGCGCUCUUCCUCGAAGCUCUGUCGCGCUUCGUGCUCUCCAUGCACGACCCGGUGGUGCUCCGCCGCUUCGACCAUUGUCGCCCCUCGCCUGGCAUCUUUGGGAAGCACGAGGCGCGGUAG